This 659-nucleotide small RNA is filed under the name Histoplasma capsulatum var. duboisii H88. Its description in RNAcentral is "Histoplasma capsulatum H88 hypothetical RNA". The record is from RNAcentral. Lineage: Eukaryota; Fungi; Ascomycota; Eurotiomycetes; Onygenales; Ajellomycetaceae.
GGAUGGGGAGAGAUAAGCUAUUCAUGCAUUGAAGGUGGCUGGGCGGAUAUUUUUUUUUCAUGUCAUACAGCUCAAUGUGCAUAGCUGAAGCGCGAAAGAGGAGUCGGCCAGUGAGGAGAUCAUCGUAGGAUUUUCAGAGAGCCGGGGUAGAAUACACAUACCGGCUGCUGGCGCCGUGGGAUGUUGUUGAAGGCCAAUGCCAGUCUGAGAUCCCCAAGUGCGGGCAACAUUACUGGCUGAUAAAAGUUCCCGAAUCACUAGCUUUUGGGAAGAGCGCGACAAACUUGAGCUAGGAGGAAGGGCAUCAUGCCCAGAUGUCGUUUAUGGGGGGAGACAAAAGCGACGCAGCGUUGAGAUUCCCGAGUACAGGCAGAGACAGACGGCGUUGGCGUGUUGUCAACCACUUACUUGGUGCUGGUCCAACCGCCGAGAUGGAACAACCCGUCCCAAGCACGCGCUGGGUGAGUCUCCAAGCACGAACCAGAGAGCGAGGCUUGGAGUCGCUGUUGCUUAUCCUCGACAUACCCGUGGCACGAGACGAUCCGGCCGACUCGUCAAUUGGCCAUUGCGGGCCUGUCGAGCAGAUAUUUAUCCCGUUUUUAUCAAAAAAGGGCCAGUAUAUGCCCAAGCUCUGCGGGGGGGAAAACAUCAAGACAGAC